GUGUCUGUGUUAGCUGUGCUUGUGCUAGCACGUCCACGCAUUGUGGUGACUGUGUUCAGGUGUCUGUGUUAGCUGUGCUUGUGCUAGCACGUCCACUCAUUGUGGUGACUGUGUUCAGGUGUCUGUGAACAGUGUCCAUAAACGUCUUUCAUUCCCCCAUAGUUUAUUCACCACCUCCGGAGUCCCUCACCAGCGCAAAUGACGAGGACACAAAAAACUCAAAGUGAGUGUGACUUUCAUUGGCAUAGGUCUGUAUGUGUCUGUGUAUGUAUGCCCCUCAUGAAGGACAUGUCAUGAUGGCUCAUGUGUUUCUUGUGCAGUGUGGUGGGCUGGAUUAUUCAUGGUCUGGGCCGUAUGAUGCCGCAGCCGGCGUUGAAAGGAAGCGAUGAUUCCGGAGUGAGUAAAUCAAUGAUUAUUAAAUUAUUAUUAAUAAUAAUAAUAA
This is a long non-coding RNA of Clupea harengus (Atlantic herring), 442 nucleotides long. Lineage: Eukaryota; Metazoa; Chordata; Actinopteri; Clupeiformes; Clupeidae. The record is from Ensembl.